CCUUAAUAUUACAUGAUUAUCUAAAUGGCCAACAGACACGGAGCUUACAGCGGGGGAGCUUCACUGCAAAGCAGACAGGUGAGCAUACAGUGGACUGCCAGAUAAAUACACUCAAUGGUCUGAAGUACAACAAUGUUAGCCUCUUCUUAUGCAGUCAGAAUGUGAUGGGAAAACUCCGGUAAGAAGUGGACAUCCAGGGGUUUAGGUUCACACUUCACACAGCAAACAGUGCAUCACAUCCCUUCAUCUCAACAAUUCAGCACUCAGUGGGAAAUACUCAUAUAUAUGGCUGUCGCCCUUCUUCUGAACUGGCAUUCACAUCAAGAGGUCCCACAGACACGAGAGGAGGAUGGAAAUUGAUUUGGACUACUCAUGAUCUCUCACAAAUGAUCUUCUGUCCCAUGGUUACCACCUUCUCAUUGAAUCAGCCUGCUCUUUCUCCCAACUCACAGCACCGUGCCCGUUCGCCGGCCCCACUUCCUCUUCACCACGGCUCACACUUUCUCUGAGAGCACUUCUCCCAAAACAAUGCCCCGUUUGCUCUGUACUUCCUCCUUGUAUACUCUUCUAAUUGCAACGUGUUUCUAUGUUCCUGACCAAUUGACUAUUUUAUGCCGAUGGGGUUUGACUUGUGUGGGUCUUGACUUGUUUGACUUGUGUGGAUCUUGACUUGUGGGUGUUGACUUGUGUGAAUCUUGACUUGUGGGUUUUGACUUGUGUUUGACUUGAGUGGAUCUUGACUUGUGUUGAUCUUUACUUGUGUUUGACUUGUGGGUCUUGA
Non-coding RNA from Pimephales promelas (fathead minnow), 781 nucleotides. NCBI's taxonomy places the organism in Eukaryota, Metazoa, Chordata, Actinopteri, Cypriniformes, Leuciscidae. The record is from RefSeq and is a predicted model, not a curated record.